CAUCGAGGGGCCGAAUGCUGAAGGUCCAGCCUCCUCCCAGCACCUGCUGCCGCAUCCCAAGCCCCCGCACCCGAGGCCACCCACCCAAAAACCACUGGGCCGCUGCUUCCAGGACACACUGCCCAAGCAGCCUUGUGGCAGCAACCCUUUGCCCGGCCUCACCAAGCAGGAAGAUUGCUGCGGUAGCAUCGGUACUGCCUGGGGACAAAGCAAGUGUCACAAGUGCCCACAGCUUCAGUGUGAGUGCCUGGCUCAAUGAAGUGUCCCCCACAGGGUGGCCCAGCUAUCUUUCUCCCAUCCCUGCUAUGGGAAUCUCCCCUCCCCCCCCCAGUGCAGGCUCCGCCCCCAAAUUUGGUGGUGAACCCACGAAAUCCUCUGUCUCUUCUCCAAAGCCCUCAUUUCUCUCCUGCAGAACCACAGUGU
RNAcentral lists this long non-coding RNA (423 nucleotides) under Rattus norvegicus (Norway rat). Its description in RNAcentral is "long non-coding RNA NONRATT001452". Lineage: Eukaryota; Metazoa; Chordata; Mammalia; Rodentia; Muridae. The record is from RNAcentral.